AGGGCCGUAGCUCAACUGGCAGAGCACCGGUCUCCAAAACCGGGGGUUGUAGGUUCGAGUCCUACCGGCCCUG
Molecule: transfer RNA, 73 nt
Filed under: Actinomycetota bacterium
Lineage: Bacteria; Bacillati; Actinomycetota
Also listed under: 1 other name
Description: tRNA-Trp
Rfam family: tRNA
About the family: Transfer RNA (tRNA) molecules are approximately 80 nucleotides in length.
Source: RNAcentral